This 425-nucleotide ribosomal RNA is filed under the name uncultured bacterium. RNAcentral's name for it is "partial 16S ribosomal RNA". It matches the Rfam family "Bacterial small subunit ribosomal RNA", at positions 354 to 796 of the family's 1533-position model. The record is from RNAcentral.
GUGGGGAAUCUUGCGCAAUGGGCGAAAGCCUGACGCAGCCAUGCCGCGUGAAUGAUGAAGGUCUUAGGAUUGUAAAAUUCUUUCACCGGGGACGAUAAUGACGGUACCCGGAGAAGAAGCCCCGGCUAACUUCGUGCCAGCAGCCGCGGUAAUACGGAGGGUGCAAGCGUUAUCCGGAAUCACUGGGUUUAAAGGGUACGUAGGCGGUUAAUUAAGUCAGUAGUGAAAGACUGUCGCUCAACGACGGAUGUGCUAUUGAUACUGGUUAACUUGAAUCAGGUUAGAGUUGGCGGAAUGGGUCAUGUAGCGGUGAAAUGCUUAGAUAUGACUUGGAACACCGAUAGCGAAGGCAGCUGACUGAGCCUUGAUUGACGCUGAGGUACGAAAGUGUGGGUAGCGAACAGGAUUAGAAACCCGUGUAGUCC